GUGCAUAUCUGUUGCCGAAGCGCUCCGCUGGCUUAUCUCCGUCUCGACCCUCUGAAGUGUACACCCCAGCUCAGCCGUCAGAUUUUUUAUUGCUUUAAAUGGACGCACUUUUUUACGCCUUGACGUAAGGACGUCUCCGGACAGAGGUGGACUUGCGGAAGAGCGACGAGGCGUACCCGGGCGUCCCGGUGUGCUGAACGCUUCAGCGGUUCGCCCAGUGGAGCGAUCACCACGUUCGACGAUAAGAAAGACUUCUUCGAUGGCGUUAAACUACGGCGCGUACGGAGGAAUGAAAAGCGGCUCUAUUCCAACAGAAUCUGCAGAGACUCGAACGCAAGAAGAAUCGUGAAAUGUCACGUUGUCCAACGGAAGGUUGUCAGAAGACGUCAGAGAACCGUCUUCAGUGAUUCGACGAAUUCGUUGCUGCUCUUGUAUGUGUCUUGUCUAUGAGCGAAACUGAGGCCGCCAAAAGAAUCCACUGCAGCUCGAACAGUUGAUGACAUGCUCGUUCUCUACAAGUUCGUUCGUACACAGCACAGACGCCAUCUCCGAGGAUACCCAUAAACGCACCGACCGCCUCGUCCGAAGGAAGCCGCAUCGACUGGAAAAAAAACAAACCGACGUCCGUGGACGUCAUACUGAUCGCUGAGUUCCAGGAACGCUGCCAUUUUGGUGCCGGUGGAAGAUGCCCAUGCGUGGACCCGGACUCUCUUUAGCGACUGUACCCUAGAGUUUUCAGCACCACACGAACAAGCUGGUGGGAAACAGAGUCGCCCAUGGUGGCUACUAUCGUCGCUAUUUCCUUCCAGAACAGGUGAUCAACGGGUAGCUUUCUACCAUUGACCGCAUCCAGUCUUCGAGAAUAUCGGCUUUUGGCGCGGAGCGCGUAUUCUUGGUUCUUACAGAGUUCCUCAGCCAUCUGAGUCCUGUUGCAUAACUGACCUGAAGGAGGAAUGCAGACCUCCAUGCACUGUUCCUUCACGAGUAUAUUCCUGCAGGUAAUCCCUCUACGAUCUGUUCGGUUCAUUGGCUAGUCUUUUCGAUUUCCUGCUAUGGACUGUGAAAAUGCAUUCGAUUCAACGCAGCUGAGGUUAAACAAAUUCAAGUUGAAAGCCAAAUCAGCGAGGCCGCCGUUUCUCUCCGCUGGACAACGGUUAACGAAAUCUUUGGUCGGUCACAAACUGUGGAGACAGAGAUAAUAAGUUUACUGAGUAUAGCUUUGGCUUUUAGUAUGCUCUAGAGAUUCGAGUACCGGAUCAACUGCGAACCAUUAACCAUGGAAAACACACAGCUAGAAAACCGCUGUGCUGCUGUUUCAGUGCCGCUGGAUAUCGAGCUUCUGAAAGUAACGAUAGGCAAACUUGAGCAUGUGCUGGGAGCCUCAGAAGCCGCUGACUGUUUUCCUGGAGCGCUCGCGUUCGUUUUACGGCACUCGACUGGGGAGGCUGAGCAAGUAUCGGCGCGACUGCAGUCGCUAUGCUUACAGGUUGAGGCCCUCUUCCUACCUCAACUUCUUGAAGAGUAUUUCAAGUCCGAAACUGCUGACACUGAAGCACGAGGUGUGGAAAAGCCCCGUGUCAUGGACCCGUCACCAGAGCUCACAGAGAUCGUCAGCGCCCUAACAGAGACGAGAAGCCGCCUGGAAGCGUGGUCCCGCGACAGUUCUGCUUCGCUGACUCGCUUUACCAGCGUUAAACCUGAACUGCGUGAGCUCAUCUUACCCUAUCUAAAGCAG
This 1735-nucleotide unclassified non-coding RNA is filed under the name Cyanidioschyzon merolae strain 10D. Its description in RNAcentral is "hypothetical transcript". Lineage: Eukaryota; Rhodophyta; Bangiophyceae; Cyanidiales; Cyanidiaceae. The record is from RNAcentral.